RNAcentral lists this unclassified non-coding RNA (240 nucleotides) under soil metagenome. Its description in RNAcentral is "partial contains 5.8S ribosomal RNA, internal transcribed spacer 2, and large subunit ribosomal RNA". The record is from RNAcentral.
AACCAUAGAAACCUGCGGAGUACCUGCGGAAGGAUCAUUACCGAGUCACGUGCUCAAAUAACCCUUCUGUGGACCUGAAAUAAAACCGUUGCCUCGGCGGGCGGUCCCCCCAACCAAACCCCACGUGGUGGGUUAGGGGACCAGACAGUCCGGCACGCUUAAGGCGUCCGGCGCCAGCCGCUGGCCCCAAACAAUUAAACUCCUAGUAACCUUUACCUCCUGAGUUUCAAUAUUUUAAAA